Molecule: ribosomal RNA, 460 nt
Filed under: uncultured bacterium
Lineage: Bacteria
Description: partial 16S ribosomal RNA
Rfam family: Bacterial small subunit ribosomal RNA
Source: RNAcentral
CCUACGGGAGGCAGCAGUGAGGAAUAUUGGUCAAUGGGCGUAAGCCUGAACCAGCCAAGUCGCGUGAGGGAUGAAGGUUCUAUGGAUCGUAAACCUCUUUUAUAAGGGAAUAAAGUGCGGGACGUGUCCCGUUUUGUAUGUACCUUAUGAAUAAGGAUCGGCUAACUCCGUGCCAGCAGCCGCGGUAAUACGGAGGAUCCGAGCGUUAUCCGGAUUUAUUGGGUUUAAAGGGUGCGUAGGCGGGCUGUUAAGUCAGUGGUGAAAGUCUGUGGCUCAACCAUAGAAUUGCAGUUGAUACUGGGAGCCUUGAGUAUAGUUGAGGUAGGCGGAAUGCGUGGUGUAGCGGUGAAAUGCUUAGAUAUCACGAAGAACCCCGAUUGCGAAGGCAGCCUGCUAAGCCAUGACUGACGCUGAUGCACGAAAGCGUGGGGAUCAAACAGGAUUAGAUACCCUAGUAGUC